This 424-nucleotide ribosomal RNA is filed under the name uncultured beta proteobacterium. Its description in RNAcentral is "bacterial SSU rRNA". It matches the Rfam family "Bacterial small subunit ribosomal RNA", at positions 207 to 622 of the family's 1533-position model. The record is from RNAcentral. Lineage: Bacteria; Pseudomonadati; Pseudomonadota; Betaproteobacteria.
CAAGACCUUGCGCUAGAGGAGCGGCCGAUGUCUGAUUAGCUAGUUGGUGGGGUAAAGGCCUACCAAGGCAACGAUCAGUAGCUGGUCUGAGAGGACGAUCAGCCACACUGGGACUGAGACACGGCCCAGACUCCUACGGGAGGCAGCAGUGGGGAAUUUUGGACAAUGGGCGAAAGCCUGAUCCAGCCAUGCCGCGUGAGUGAAGAAGGCCUUCGGGUUGUAAAGCUCUUUUAGUUGGAAAGAAAGAAUUAUAGUUAAUAGUUAUAAUUUAUGACGGUACCAACAGAAAAAGCACCGGCUAACUACGUGCCAGCAGCCGCGGUAAUACGUAGGGUGCGAGCGUUAAUCGGAAUUACUGGGCGUAAAGGGUGCGCAGGCGGCCAUGCAAGUCAGAUGUGAAAGCCCCGGGCUUAACCUGGGAAUU